AGAUGCGGCGUUGCUUACAAUGCAAGUCGAACGGAGGUUAUUUUGAAACUUAGUGAUAGAUAACCUUAGUGGCGGACGGGUGAGUAACGCGUGGAUAACCUGCCUACAUGCCUGGGACAACACCGGGAAACUGGUGCUAAUACCGGAUACGCUCUUGUAUGCACAUGCAUAUAAGAGGAAAGGAGCAAUCCGCAUAUAGAUGGGUCCGCGUCCCAUUAGCUAGUUGGAGGUGUAAGAGACCCCCAAGGCGACGAUGGGUAGCCGGCCUGAGAGGGUGGACGGCCACACUGGAACUGAGACACGGUCCAGACUCCUACGGGAGGCAGCAGUGGGGAAUCUUCCGCAAUGGGCGAAAGCCUGACGGAGCAACGCCGCGUGAGUGAAGAAGGCCUUCGGGUCGUAAAACUCUGUCUUCAGGGAAGAAAAAAAUGACGGUACCUGAGGAGGAAGCCCCGGCUAACUACGUGCCAGCAGCCGCGGUAAAACGUAGGGGGCGAGCGUUGUCCGGAAUUACUGGGCGUAAAGGGCGCGUAGGCGGUCAUUUAAGUCAGAGGUGAAAACUACCGGCUCAACCGGUAGCCUGCCUUUGAAACUGGAUGACUUGAGGGCAGGAGAGGGGAGUGGAAUUCCCAGUGUAGCGGUGAAAUGCGUAGAUAUUGGGAGGAACACCAGUGGCGAAGGCGGCUCUCUGGCCUGUUUCUGACGCUGAGGCGCGAAAGCGUGGGGAGCGAACGGGAUUAGAUACCCCGGUAGUCCACGCCGUAAACGAUGGGUGCUAGGUGUAGGAGGUAUCGACCCCUUCUGUGCCGUAGCUACGCAU
This 820-nucleotide ribosomal RNA is filed under the name uncultured Pelotomaculum sp. Its description in RNAcentral is "bacterial SSU rRNA". It matches the Rfam family "Bacterial small subunit ribosomal RNA", at positions 34 to 860 of the family's 1533-position model. Lineage: Bacteria; Bacillati; Bacillota; Clostridia; Eubacteriales; Desulfotomaculaceae. The record is from RNAcentral.